RNAcentral lists this ribosomal RNA (564 nucleotides) under uncultured bacterium. RNAcentral describes it as "bacterial SSU rRNA". It matches the Rfam family "Bacterial small subunit ribosomal RNA", at positions 361 to 917 of the family's 1533-position model. The record is from RNAcentral.
ANUUUUNACAAUGGGCGAAAGCCUGNUGGAGCGACGCCGCGUGGGGGAUGAAUGGCUUCGGCCCGUAAACCCCUGUCAUUUGCGAUCAACCCUUACGACCUAACACGUCGUGAGCUGAUGGUAGCGAAAGAGGAAGGGACGGCUAACUCUGUGCCAGCAGCCGCGGUAAUACAGAGGUCCCAAGCGUUGUUCGGACUCACUGGGCGUAAAGGGUGCGUAGGCGGCCGGGUAAGUCUGACGUGAAAUCUCCAAGCUCAACUUGGAAAUGGCGUCGGAUACUAUUCGGCUCGAGGAAUGGAGGGGAGACUGGAAUACUUGGUGUAGCAGUGAAAUGCGUAGAUAUCAAGUGGAACACCAGUGGCGAAGGCGAGUCUCUGGACAUUUCCUGACGCUGAGGCACGAAAGCCAGGGGAGCAAACGGGAUUAGAUACCCCGGUAGUCCUGGCCCUAAACGGUGCACGUUUGCUGUAAGAGGAUUCGACCCCUUUUGUGGCGAAGCUAACGCGUUAAACGUGCCGCCUGGGAAGUACGGCCGCAAGGUUAAAACUCAAAAGAAUUGACGGA